GAUGAACGCUGGCGGCGUGCCUAAUACAUGCAAGUCGAGCGAACGGACGAGAAGCUUGCUUCUCUGAUGUUAGCGGCGGACGGGUGAGUAACACGUGGAUAACCUACCUAUAAGACUGGGAUAACUUCGGGAAACCGUAGCUAAUACCGGAUAAUAUUUUGAACCGCAUGGUUCAAAAGUGAAAGACGGUCUUGCUGUCACUUAUAGAUGGAUCCGCGCUGCAUUAGCUAGUUGGUAAGGUAACGGCUUACCAAGGCAACGAUGCAUAGCCGACCUGAGAGGGUGAUCGGCCACACUGGAACUGAGACACGGUCCAGACUCCUACGGGAGGCAGCAGUAGGGAAUCUUCCGCAAUGGGCGAAAGCCUGACGGAGCAACGCCGCGUGAGUGAUAAAGGUCUUCGGAUCGUAAAACUCUGUUAUUAGGGAAGAACAUAUGUGUAAGUAACUGUGCACAUCUUGACGGUACCUAAUCAGAAAGCCACGGCUAACUACGUG
This 497-nucleotide ribosomal RNA is filed under the name uncultured bacterium. Its description in RNAcentral is "partial 16S ribosomal RNA". It matches the Rfam family "Bacterial small subunit ribosomal RNA", at positions 28 to 507 of the family's 1533-position model. The record is from RNAcentral.